UGCAUCCUGCCUGAUGCGCGAAUCAGCGAAAAUAACCCUACAACCUUUAAAUCGGGAGUUUAACUCCGUCAGUGGUGUGCAGACCUCCCCUAUCGGGACGAAGGGAGCCUAAAGCUGUCGGGUGGACACCCACCUGUCAUAUUCGUAGGCAGGUUAUAUUAAGCUGAUACGGUCAGGCGGGAUAACU
This 187-nucleotide non-coding RNA is filed under the name Eubacteriales bacterium. Its description in RNAcentral is "6S RNA". It matches the Rfam family "6S / SsrS RNA". Rfam says of the family: E. coli 6S RNA was the first non coding RNA to be sequenced, but its function was unknown until recently. The record is from RNAcentral. Lineage: Bacteria; Bacillati; Bacillota; Clostridia; Eubacteriales.